RNAcentral lists this ribosomal RNA (492 nucleotides) under uncultured bacterium. RNAcentral's name for it is "partial 16S ribosomal RNA". It matches the Rfam family "Bacterial small subunit ribosomal RNA", at positions 29 to 507 of the family's 1533-position model. The record is from RNAcentral.
AGUGAACGCUGGCGGUAGGCCUAACACAUGCAAGUCGAACGGCAGCACAGUAAAAGCUUGCUCUUACGGGUCGCGAGUGGCGGACGGGUGAAGAAUACAUCGGAAUCUACUUUUUCGUGGGGGAUAACGUAGGGAAACUUACGCUAAUACCGCAUACGACCUACGGGUGAAAGCAGGGGAUCUUCGGACCUUGCGCGAUUGAAUGAGCCGAUGUCGGAUUAGCUAGUUGGCGGGGUAAAGGCCCACCAAGGCGACGAUCCGUAGCUGGUCUGAGAGGAUGAUCAGCCACACUGGAACUGAGACACGGUCCAGACUCCUACGGGAGGCAGCAGUGGGGAAUAUUGGACAAUGGGCGCAAGCCUGAUCCAGCCAUACCGCGUGGGUGAAGAAGGCCUUCGGGUUGUAAAGCCCUUUUGUUGGGAAAGAAAAGCAGCAGGUUAAUACCCCGCUGUUCUGACGGUACCCAAAGAAUAAGCACCGGCUAACUUCGUG